AAGGAAUAUUGGUCAAUGGGCGCAAGCCUGAACCAGCCAUGCCGCGUGCAGGAAGACGGCCCUAUGGGUUGUAAACUGCUUUUGUCAGGGAAUAAACCCCCGCUCGUGAGCGGGGCUGAAGGUACCUGAAGAAUAAGCAUCGGCUAACUCCGUGCCAGCAGCCGCGGUAAUACGGAGGAUGCAAGCGUUAUCCGGAUUCGUUGGGUUUAAAGGGUGCGCAGGCGGAUUGGUAAGUCAGGGGUGAAAUCCCACAGCUCAACUGUGGAACUGCCUUUGAUACUGUCAGUCUAGAGUAUAGUUGAAGUGGGCGGAAUGUGUCAUGUAGCGGUGAAAUGCUUAGAUAUGACACAGAACACCGAUCGCGAAGGCAGCUCGCUAAGCUAUAACUGACGCUCAGGCACGAAAGCGUGGGGAUCAAACAG
RNAcentral lists this ribosomal RNA (422 nucleotides) under uncultured bacterium. RNAcentral describes it as "bacterial SSU rRNA". It matches the Rfam family "Bacterial small subunit ribosomal RNA", at positions 356 to 775 of the family's 1533-position model. The record is from RNAcentral.